AUCGAACGCUGGCGGCAGGCUUAACACAUGCAAGUCGAGCGGAGUGAUGGUGCUCGCACUAUCACUUAGCGGCGGGCGGGUGAGUAAUGCUCAGGAAUCUGCCUAUUAGUGGGGGACAACAUCUCGAAAGGGAUGCUAAUACCGCAUACGUCCUACGGGAGAAAGCAGGGGAUCACUUGUGACCUUGCGCUAAUAGAUGAGCCUAAGUCGGAUUAGCUAGUUGGUGGGGUAAAGGCCUACCAAGGCGACGAUCUGUAGCGGGUCUGAGAGGAUGAUCCGCCACACUGGGACUGAGACACGGCCCAGACUCCUACGGGAGGCAGCAGUGGGGAAUAUUGGACAAUGGGGGGAACCCUGAUCCAGCCAUGCCGCGUGUGUGAAGAAGGCCUUAUGGUUGUAAAGCACUUUAAGCGAGGAGGAGGCUCUUUUGGUUAAUACCCAAGAUGAGUGGACGUUACUCGCAGAAUAAGCACCGGCUAACUUCGUGCCAGCCGCCGCUGUAA
Molecule: ribosomal RNA, 503 nt
Filed under: uncultured bacterium
Lineage: Bacteria
Description: partial 16S ribosomal RNA
Rfam family: Bacterial small subunit ribosomal RNA
Source: RNAcentral